ACGCUGGCGGCGUGCCUAAUACAUGCAAGUCGAGCGAACGGACGAGAAGCUUGCUUCUCUGAUGUUAGCGGCGGACGGGUGAGUAACACGUGGAUAACCUACCUAUAAGACUGGGAUAACUUCGGGAAACCGGAGCUAAUACCAGAUAAUAUUUUGAACCGCAUGGUUCAAAAGUGAAAGACGGUCUUGCUGUCACUUAUAGAUGGAUCCGCGCUGCAUUAGCUAGUUGGUAAGGUAACGGCUUACCAAGGCAACGAUGCAUAGCCGACCUGAGAGGGUGAUCGGCCACACUGGAACUGAGACACGGUCCAGACUCCUACGGGAGGCAGCAGUAGGGAAUCUUCCGCAAUGGGCGAAAGCCUGACGGAGCAACGCCGCGUGAGUGAUGAAAGUCUUCGGAUCGUAAAACUCUGUUAUUAGGGAAGAACAUAUGUGUAAGUAACUGUGCACAUCUUGACGGUACCUAAUCAGAAAGCCACGGCUAACUACGUGCCAGCAGCCGCGGUAAUACGUAGGUGGCAAGCGUUAUCCGGAAUUAUUGGGCGUAAAGCGCGCGUAGGCGGUUUUUUAAGUCUGAUGUGAAAGCCCACGGCUCAACCGUGGAGGGUCAUUGGAAACUGGAAAACUUGAGUGCAGAAGAGGAAAGUGGAAUUCCAUGUGUAGCGGUGAAAUGCGCAGAGAUAUGGAGGAACACCAGUGGCGAAGGCGACUUUCUGGUCUGUAACUGACGCUGAUGUGCGAAAGCGUGGGGAUCAAACAGGAUUAGAUACCCUGGUAGUCC
This 781-nucleotide ribosomal RNA is filed under the name uncultured bacterium. RNAcentral's name for it is "bacterial SSU rRNA". It matches the Rfam family "Bacterial small subunit ribosomal RNA", at positions 33 to 796 of the family's 1533-position model. The record is from RNAcentral.